This 183-nucleotide unclassified non-coding RNA is filed under the name rhizosphere metagenome. RNAcentral describes it as "partial ribosomal RNA internal transcribed spacer region". The record is from RNAcentral.
GAGUUCAUGCCCUCACGGGUAGACCUCCCACCCUUGAAUAUAUACCUUUGUUGCUUUGGCGGGCCGCUUCGGCUACUGGCUUCGGCUGGUGAGUGCCCGCCAGAGGACCCAAAACUCUGAAUUAUAGUGUCGUCUGAGUACUAUAUAAUAGUUAAAACUUUCGACAACGGAUCUCUUGGUUCU